CCUACGGGAGGCAGCAGUGAGGAAUAUUGGUCAAUGGACGAGAGUCUGAACCAGCCAAGUAGCGUGAAGGAUGACUGUCCUAUGGGUUGUAAACUUCUUUUAUAUGGGAAUAAAAUGUUCCACGUGUGGGCUUUUGUAUGUACCUUAUGAAUAAGGAUCGGCUAACUCCGUGCCAGCAGCCGCGGUAAUACGGAGGAUCCGAGCGUUAUCCGGAUUUAUUGGGUUUAAAGGGAGCGUAGGUGGUUUGUUAAGUCAGUUGUGAAAGUUUGCGGCUCAACCGUAAAAUUGCAGUUGAAACUGGCAGUCUUGAGUGCAGUAGAGGUGGGCGGAAUUCGUGGUGUAGCGGUGAAAUGCUUAGAUAUCACGAAGAACUCCGAUUGCGAAGGCAGCUCACUGGACUGAAACUGACGCUGAGGCUCGAAAGUGUGGGUAUCAAACAGGAUUAGAUACCCGAGUAGUC
Molecule: ribosomal RNA, 460 nt
Filed under: uncultured bacterium
Lineage: Bacteria
Description: partial 16S ribosomal RNA
Rfam family: Bacterial small subunit ribosomal RNA
Source: RNAcentral